CAGCCGCCGCGGGAACACGGAGGGUGCAAGCGUUGUCCGGAUUUAUUGGGUUUAAAGGGUGCGCAGGCGGGGGGGUCAGUCCGCGGUGAAAGACGAUCGCUCAACGAUUGCAGUGCCGUGGAUACUGCCCUUCUUGAAUCUGGUUGAGGCCGGUGGAACUGACCGUGUAGCGGUGAAAUGCAUAGAUAUGGUCAAGAACUCCAAUUGCGAAGGCAGCCGGCUGGGCCAGCAUUGACGCUCAGGCACGAGAGUGCGGGGAUCAAACAGGAUUAGAUACCCCCGUAGUCCCUGUCUCUUAUAU
RNAcentral lists this ribosomal RNA (301 nucleotides) under uncultured bacterium. Its description in RNAcentral is "partial 16S ribosomal RNA". It matches the Rfam family "Bacterial small subunit ribosomal RNA", at positions 509 to 809 of the family's 1533-position model. The record is from RNAcentral.